GAUGAAGAACGUAGCGAAAUGCGAUAGGUAAUGUGAAUUGCAGAAUUCCGUGAAUCAUCGAAUCUUUGAACGCACAUUGCGCCCCCUGGCAUUCCGGGGGGCAUGCCUGUCCGAGCGUCAUUUCUGCCCUCCAGCCCGGCUGGGUGUUGGGCGCUGUCCCCCCGGGGACACGCCCCAAAGGCAGUGGCGGCGCCGCGUCGGGUCCUCGAGCGUAUGGGGCUUUGUCACCCGCUCGGGACGGACUCGUCGGCGCUGGUCUUCCUCCAGGCGACCCUUCGGGGCUCGUCUUCCUUCGGUUGACCUCGGAUCAGGUAGGGUUACCCGCUGAACUUAAGCAUAUCAAUAAGCGGAGGA
This 354-nucleotide unclassified non-coding RNA is filed under the name soil metagenome. RNAcentral describes it as "partial contains 5.8S ribosomal RNA, internal transcribed spacer 2, and large subunit ribosomal RNA". The stretch from base 1 to 120 matches the Rfam family "5.8S ribosomal RNA", at positions 35 to 154 of the family's 154-position model. The record is from RNAcentral.